Durio zibethinus is the source of this 2335-nucleotide non-coding RNA. Lineage: Eukaryota; Viridiplantae; Streptophyta; Magnoliopsida; Malvales; Malvaceae. The record is from RefSeq and is a predicted model, not a curated record.
UUCUUAAGUUUAUCUGCAAUCUUCUCUGAGGUGGCUUUUUUUGUUAGUUGGAGUUUGGGUUUUUGCCAAUUUCUAACCUGCCGUCACUUUCCUCAAAAAACAUAAGCAAGACAGAGGAAAAGAAAAUUUUUCCGUGGAAAAACAGAAAGAAAAAAUAAGCAUUUUGUUGGAACAAGUGGUGUCCUUUAGUGAUUUGAUUUUGAACUUUUGUUGUUCUUGGGGGGCCUUGUUUUAUGACGAUGAUCGUAGCUAUGUGCCGCACCUUUCGCGAUCGAGCUCUCGACCGAUGCUUCCACUGCUUCCCUUGUCUCUCCGAUCCUGCCUGGAGAUCAUCGUUGGGUUUGAAAGUGGCGUUAGUGAUGCUGCAUCUGAUAUACGCUGGCAUUCUCUUCCUGUUCGAUAGUGAUUUGAUUGAGAAAACGAAAAAAGAACCAUGGUACACUGCUUUAUAUUUGUUGUUGUUUUUUGCCACAUUGGUCCAAUACUUUAUUACUUCUGGUUCUUCUCCCGGUUAUGUCCUUGAUGCAAUGAGGGCUGUUAAUGAGACAAAUGUGAUGUAUAAGAAAUCAUCAACGGCCUCAAAACAGCCUGCUUCAAGCAAAAAUGGAAGCUUGAUUGUCACCAUAGAAGGGAGUCAAACAGGUAGAAAUUUUCAAGGAAGUAAUCCCGCAUCUUGGACAAAGUUGGUGAUGGACAUGUAUCCACCUGGAACGUCCAUUAGGGCUUUCAGUUGCUUCUAUUGUAAUGUUGAGCAGCCUCCACGAGCAAAGCAUUGUCAUGAUUGUGAUAAAUGUGUUCUUCAGUUUGAUCAUCAUUGUGUAUGGCUUGGAACAUGCAUUGGCCAGGGCAAUCAUUGCAAAUUUUGGUGGUACAUUUGUGAAGAGACAGCAUUGUGCCUCUGGACUGGCAUCUUGUACAUUACAUACCUGAAGGCCAACAUAUCAAGGGCUUGGUGGAAGGAUGCUAUCAUGAUUCUGCUAUUGAUUGCCAUGGCAAUUUCCAUAAUAUUUCUACUUCUUCUUCUACUUUUUCACAGCUAUCUUGUUCUAACAAAUCAGACUACAUAUGAACUUGUUAGACGCAGGCGUAUCCCAUAUCUAAGGGGGAUUCCUGAGCGAGUUUAUCCUUUUAGUCAAGGAGUUUGCAGCAAUUUAUACGACUUCUGUUGUGUAUGCAGCAUAUACCAUUUGGAAUCUUUGCCCUCAGCCCAAGAACUUGAAGAAAAGUCAAGGCCCUACACUUGCUUAGAUGUUUUAACCUGUCGUUGCUGCUGAUGUUGUAGGGCAAUGUAUCAUUUACGAAAAUACGAUUUUUUACCUAAAAAAUUUUAAUGUGAGAUUGUGUAGAGGCACUGAUGUGCAGCCAAAUUGUUGGAGUUACUAGAUAUGGUUCGCUGAAGGUCAAGAUGCUGCGUAAUCGAAGAGAAGAUGCCCUAUCUAUCUUAAAGCUUCAAGCAUCAUAUAACUGCCAUUCGGAUCUGAGCAUCUCAAGGCAUUCUUUGAAAUUUUCAAAGCCCGUUGUUUAGAUGUAGAAAUUAAGCUCGGACGGUUAGGUACAUUUCUGUCACACAGCAUGUGCUCUCUCUGAGGGAGAAGUUCGUCAGAAAGUGAAAACCCUUUUUUCUGCUUGCUCAUCUAUAUAUAAAUCUUUUUUAGGCUUAUGUUCAUUCUUGAGGAUUAAUCAAAUAAGCUCCGUUUAAAAUCAGUUUCAAUCAUAACAGGAAUCCCAGCUGCAACUCCCAUAUCCAAGGUCCCGAGGCCCCAGUUGAGCCACCACAUUCCACCAUACUCUCGUGGCUUAUUAAUCUUAGCCCACAUGCAGGAUGGAUGUGCCAAUGUGACGGGCAGUGCUAGUUACGCCUCCAGCCAGACCCGAUACACUUCCAGAGAAUGGAACGACGGCCGCCAUGAAGAAAGAGAAAAUUUCGAAUGUUGUCCGGAACACUGCUCGGAGCCAACGGUGGCAAGGCUUUUUCUUUGUGCUGUUUAGAAGCAGAAGCUCCAUGUCAUCAAAAGUUGGCAUUACAUAGAUUCGAAAUGAGAACGAGUUUAUUAUUAUUUUCUAAUCCCUUCGUACGAGUAUAGAAUAAACUUCAAAACUCCAAAUACCAGACAUCAAAUGUUUUUGUUACUUUUGGACAUACUGUUAAGAUACCAACGUGGAAUAAUCUUUGUUCUUACGAAGCUUUUCUAAUUACUUAACUGAAUCUCUAAAGAUAAGAUUGUGACCUCUAAAAGCAGAAGCAACGAUCCCAAGCGCAUUAAAUACGCCACUGAUCCUUUCAAUCUCUGUGUUUAAAAUUGUCAGAAAAAAAACUAAUAAUGCACAAAACUAC